GGUGGUUCUCAGAUGAUGCACCCGGAAUCAGGUUCCCUCCUCUCUGACUCUGGGGGUGUCAACUGAGAACCACA
Molecule: non-coding RNA, 74 nt
Organism: Myotis brandtii (Brandt's bat)
Lineage: Eukaryota; Metazoa; Chordata; Mammalia; Chiroptera; Vespertilionidae
Source: Rfam